AGCCGAGAGACAGGUGCUGGCAUGGCUGUCGUCAGCUCGUGUCAUGAGAUGUUGGGUUAAGUCCCGUAACGAGCGCAACCCCUAUUGUUAGUUGCCAUCAUUCAGUUGGGCACUCUAGCGAAGACUGCCGGUAAUAAACCGGAGGAAGGUGGGGAUGACGUCAAAUCAUCAUGCCCCUUAUGACCUGGGCUACACACGUGCUACAAUGGUUGGUACAACGAGUUGCGAGUCGGUGACGGCGAGCUAAUCUCUUAAAGCCAACCUCAGUUCGGAUUGUAGGCUGCAACUCGCCUACAUGAAGUCGGAAUCGCUAGUAAUCGCGGAUCAGCACGCCGCGGUGAAUACGUUCCCGGGCCUU
Molecule: ribosomal RNA, 358 nt
Filed under: uncultured Streptococcus sp.
Lineage: Bacteria; Bacillati; Bacillota; Bacilli; Lactobacillales; Streptococcaceae
Description: bacterial SSU rRNA
Rfam family: Bacterial small subunit ribosomal RNA
Source: RNAcentral